UGAGGGGGAAUGCCUGCAGUUAAAAUGAUGCUUUCAUUAACUGGAAUAAAAUUCCCCUUCCUCCCUUCCUCCCUCCCUCCUACUCGUGUCUCUCCUCCUCUUCCUCCCACAGCUGGCCCUAAGACAGUGUGUGACGUGCAACAUCCCACCGGUGGGAUAAAAGAAGCGGACCGAGUCCACCUCCCAUCCUGGUGGCCAGACGAGAACCCCCCAUCUGCACAUUUUUGUGCUGGGUCUGCAGACCCCACCCGUGGCUAUUUUUAAAUAGUCUAUUGCUGCAAAAACCCACAAUCCAAAUAGCUAAGUUCCUGCGGAGGAGUUCUGCCUCAUCCUCCACCAGCUGCAGCUGCUGCCUUAGUUCGGACAAAGCCUCGCCUUGCUCCCUGCUCUGCUGGCUGCCGCCGCCACUGCCAUCCCCUCCUGCUGCCAGACUAGAAAAUACAGUUCAGCCUUCAGUCCUCUGUUCUCCACCUCCAGCUCCACAAUCUUCCUCCCCAGGAUGUUUGCCUCCUCUUCCACCAGGCGCAAGCG
Poecilia latipinna (sailfin molly) is the source of this 531-nucleotide long non-coding RNA. RefSeq lists it as uncharacterized. The record is from RefSeq and is a predicted model, not a curated record. NCBI's taxonomy places the organism in Eukaryota, Metazoa, Chordata, Actinopteri, Cyprinodontiformes, Poeciliidae. The transcript is spliced from 3 exons.